UACGAAGGGGGCUAGCGUUGUUCGGAAUUACUGGGCGUAAAGCGCACGUAGGCGGAUCGAUCAGUCAGGGGUGAAAUCCCAGGGCUCAACCCUGGAACUGCCUUUGAUACUGUCGAUCUGGAGUAUGGAAGAGGUGAGUGGAACUGCGAGUGUAGAGGUGAAAUUCGUAGAUAUUCGCAAGAACACCAGUGGCGAAGGCGGCCAACUGGUCCGGUACUGACGCUGAGGUGCGAAAGCGUGGGGAGCAAACAGG
Molecule: ribosomal RNA, 253 nt
Filed under: uncultured bacterium
Lineage: Bacteria
Description: partial 16S ribosomal RNA
Rfam family: Bacterial small subunit ribosomal RNA
Source: RNAcentral